UAGGGAAUCUUCGGCAAUGGGGGCAACCCUGACCGAGCAACGCCGCGUGAGUGAAGCAGGUUUUCGGAUCGUAAAGCUCUGUUGUAAGAGAAGAACGUGUGUGAGAGUGGAAAGUUCACACAGUGACGGUAACUUACCAGAAAGGGACGGCUAACUACGUGCCAGCAGCCGCGGUAAUACGUAGGUCCCGAGCGUUGUCCGGAUUUAUUGGGCGUAAAGCGAGCGCAGGCGGUUUAAUAAGUCUGAAGUUAAAGGCAGUGGCUUAACCAUUGUUCGCUUUGGAAACUGUUAAACUUGAGUGCAGAAGGGGAGAGUGGAAUUCCAUGUGUAGCGGUGAAAUGCGUAGAUAUAUGGAGGAACACCGGUGGCGAAAGCGGCGAUCUGGUCUGUAACUGACGCUGAGGCUCGAAAGCGUGGGGAGCAAACAGG
Molecule: ribosomal RNA, 429 nt
Filed under: bacterium
Lineage: Bacteria
Description: partial 16S ribosomal RNA
Rfam family: Bacterial small subunit ribosomal RNA
Source: RNAcentral